CCUACGGGUGGCAGCAGUGAGGAAUAUUGGUCAAUGGGCGCGAGCCUGAACCAGCCAAGUCGCGUGAGGGAAGACGGUCCUAUGGAUUGUAAACCUCUUUUGUCGGGGAGUAAAAGACGCUACGCGUGGCGUUCCGAGAGUACCCGAAGAAAAAGCAUCGGCUAACUCCGUGCCAGCAGCCGCGGUAAUACGGAGGAUGCGAGCGUUACUCGGAAUUAUUGGGCGUAAAGGGUGCGUAGGCGGGGUAAUAAGUCAGAUGUGAAAUCCUGUAGCUUAACUACAGAACUGCAUUUGAAACUGUUGCUCUGGAGUGUAGGAGAGGUAGGUGGAAUGCUUGGUGUAGGGGUGAAAUGCGUAGAGAUCAAGAGGAAUACUGAUUGCGAAGGCAACCUGCUGAAACAUUACUGACGCUGAUGCACGAAAGCGUGGGGAGCAAACAGGAUUAGAUACCCGAGUAGUC
RNAcentral lists this ribosomal RNA (460 nucleotides) under uncultured bacterium. RNAcentral's name for it is "partial 16S ribosomal RNA". It matches the Rfam family "Bacterial small subunit ribosomal RNA", at positions 338 to 795 of the family's 1533-position model. The record is from RNAcentral.